UUUAUGGAGAGUUUGAUCCUGGCUCAGGAUGAACGCUGGCGGCGUGCCUAAUACAUGCAAGUUGAGCGAACGGACGAGAAGCUUGCUUCUCUGAUGUUAGCGGCGGACGGGUGAGUAACACGUGGAUAACCUACCUAUAAGACUGGGAUAACUUCGGGAAACCGGAGCUAAUACCGGAUA
Molecule: ribosomal RNA, 180 nt
Filed under: Staphylococcus aureus
Lineage: Bacteria; Bacillati; Bacillota; Bacilli; Caryophanales; Staphylococcaceae
Description: partial 16S ribosomal RNA
Rfam family: Bacterial small subunit ribosomal RNA
Source: RNAcentral